UGUACAGUAUUAACUGGUCAGUGACACCAACCACUGAUUCUAAAAUUAGUCUCUCAUUGUUUUGAUACAUUUUGUCACUGAGGGAUGUGACUGUUACAGGCAGUGGGAUAGAUACUGGCUGUAGAUCAAGAAGUCAGAAGUGAGUGAGACUGUCUCUGUGAUAGAAGAACUUCAUGGAUCUCAAGUUAUUUCCUCAGCAAACAGGAUAUGUGUAACACUGCUGCUAAAGUCCAGGGCAAAGGUGCACCACAGCAUGGCCUCUCCCUCAGAUGUCAAAUAAUGCCAGGGUUACACCUUUUUCAGAGUGUCUUCACUCAUCAUGGUAUCCAUCCUACAUAUCACCAGCUCUCUGUGAUGCAGUGCUAGCCUCACCACACCAGCAAAGGAUAUGUGACUUUUCACAAGCUGAGUUAGAAAUAAUCCCCAUCGUACUUGAUAAUGGAAAAAGAAAAAAUGGAAAAUAAAAGAAUGACUGAGUUCAUUCAGCCUUACAAGCUUGAGUGACACAUUACUUGAAGACACCAUGAUGGAACAAGUCACACAUCUGCCAGCACAAGUUUCUGGAUUUAAUCUCCAUGCUGUAGCUGCUUUUCUGGGCGUCGCUUGAUGAGACUGUACGCUCGCCUCUGGGAGUUGAUCGCCGCGGGCCGCACAGACUUCCCCGUGAGUGAAUCAGUGAGUGACGUCACGUGAGAAGCAAGUUAGUCAACCAGGAUGUGCUCCCACAGGUGUCUUCCGUCUCCCGCCCACUGUAUGUUGACCGGUGAUUGAGCUCUUUAUUCUACCCGUCUCUCUCUCUCUCUCUCUCUCUCUCUCUCUCUCUCUCUCUCUCUCUCUCUGUGUGUGUGUGUGUGUGUGUGUGAUAUUGAUGAACUGGGAGAAGGGGCGAGGAAACGUUAUACAUGUGCAAAUUGUGAAAAACGAACUAAAUAAAAAAGGCACUUUCAAACGUCACAGCAGUCAGUGGACGGUUAAUUGAACACCCGCCCGUUAUCACACACCGCCGAGCUGAUAGGAAUCUUACUUACACCUGACCAUACUGGGAGGGAGAGACAGGUGGUGGUGUGGUGAUGGUGAGGAGGAAAGUGUAGAGCUGAGCCCAUCACUAAUCAGAGUACGCCGCGCUACCUUACUUGUCUGACAGCGAGGCACCACCAGGAAUCACUAACGAAUGAAUAACGUCAAGGCCUGUGUGUGUGUGUGUGUGUGUGUGUGUGUGUGUGUGUGUGUGUGUGUGGUGGCACUUUAAGCUAUACAGCCACUCAUCGCCCCGAGGGUGUUGGAAAGAGAGAGGAGAUUAAGUUGCUGCAACGCAUGACGCAUCGCCGUAGUGUAGAGGCUGCUGAAUAACAUAUGAACGUGUCCAGGCAUAAAGGUCCCUCUUCUCCUGUAGCUUAGUCAUAGGUUUCCUCUUCUACCUAACGAUCAAUAAACGAAACCUCCUUCAUGUUUCUCUUCUUUUUUUCUUUAGCCACUCACUGACUUCACUUCUGUUAUUGUACGAUAGAUAAAUAAUCCAGAUAUUUUCUUAUCUACGUAAUGAUCAAUAAAUAUAACUUUCUUAUGGUCUCUUUCCUUCACUCUCUCUCUCUCUCUCAGCCAAAAGAUUGGGUGUCUGUUACUGUAUGGUAAAAAUAAUGUAUAACAA
This is a long non-coding RNA of Portunus trituberculatus (swimming crab), 1648 nucleotides long. RefSeq lists it as uncharacterized. NCBI's taxonomy places the organism in Eukaryota, Metazoa, Arthropoda, Malacostraca, Decapoda, Portunidae. The record is from RefSeq and is a predicted model, not a curated record. The transcript has 5 exons.